RNAcentral lists this transfer RNA (72 nucleotides) under Heterocephalus glaber (naked mole-rat). It matches the Rfam family "tRNA". From Rfam's summary of the family: Transfer RNA (tRNA) molecules are approximately 80 nucleotides in length. Their secondary structure includes four short double-helical elements and three loops (D, anti-codon, and T loops). Lineage: Eukaryota; Metazoa; Chordata; Mammalia; Rodentia; Bathyergidae. The record is from Rfam by way of RNAcentral.
AGGGGUGUGGCUCAGUUGCAGAGCACGUGGUUAGUAUGCACAAGGCCCUGGGCUCAAUCCCCAGAACUCCCA